UUCUGGGCUCUUGCUAAUGGGGUCAGGAAGACUAUGGGGCUCUGUUGCUUUGGGGGCAUCGGGCUAUCGGGGCUCAAGGUUUGGGGCACAGGGCUAUUGGGGCAUGGGGUUAUGGGGCUCUGUUAUAUGGGGCAGGGGGUUAUGGGGCCCUGUGCUAUGGGGGGCACGCUAUGGGGCUGUACAGGUUGGGGUGUUUGCUAUAGGGCGCUAUGCCUAGGGGGUGUUUCGCUAUGGGGCAGGGAAGUAUGGGGGUCGGGGCUCUGGGGCACAGGGCUAGGGGCACGAGCUUUGGGGCACAGAGCUAUGGGGUGUGCUAUGGGGCACA
Long non-coding RNA from Coturnix japonica (Japanese quail), 325 nucleotides. The record is from Ensembl. Lineage: Eukaryota; Metazoa; Chordata; Aves; Galliformes; Phasianidae.